CCUACGGGACGCAGCAGUCGAGAAUCAUUCACAAUGGGGGAAACCCUGAUGGUGCGACGCCGCGUGGGGGAAUGAAGGUCUUCGGAUUGUAAACCCCUGUCAUGUGGGAGCAAAUUAAAAAGAUAGUACCACAAGAGGAAGAGACGGCUAACUCUGUGCCAGCAGCCGCGGUAAUACAGAGGUCUCAAGCGUUGUUCGGAAUCACUGGGCGUAAAGCGUGCGUAGGCUGUUUCGUAAGUCGUGUGUGAAAGGCGCGGGCUCAACCCGCGGACGGCACAUGAUACUGCGAGACUAGAGUAAGGGAGGGGGAACCGGAAUUCUCGGUGUAGCAGUGAAAUGCGUAGAUAUCGAGAGGAACACUCGUGGCGAAGGCGGGUUCCUGGACAUUAACUGACGCUGAGGCACGAAGGCCAGGGGAGCGAAAGGGAUUAGAUACCCGAGUAGUC
This 446-nucleotide ribosomal RNA is filed under the name uncultured bacterium. Its description in RNAcentral is "partial 16S ribosomal RNA". It matches the Rfam family "Bacterial small subunit ribosomal RNA", at positions 338 to 795 of the family's 1533-position model. The record is from RNAcentral.